RNAcentral lists this unclassified non-coding RNA (448 nucleotides) under Hevea brasiliensis (rubber tree). Lineage: Eukaryota; Viridiplantae; Streptophyta; Magnoliopsida; Malpighiales; Euphorbiaceae. The record is from RNAcentral.
CCAUAUGUAUUGAUCAACCACCGAGAGGAGCUUCUUCCUCUUAUAAUGUGCGCAAUUGAGCGCCAUCCAGAUAGCAGUACACGGGAUUCCUUGACCCAUACAUUAUUCAACUUAAUCAAGCGUCCCGAUGAAGAACAGAGACGGAUUAUAAUGGAUGCUUGUGUCACUCUUGCCAGAAAUGUUGGAGAGAUGAGAACGGAAACUGAAUUACUUCCUCAGUGUUGGGAACAAAUCAAUCACAUGUAUGAGGAGCGCCGCUUGCUAGUUGCUCAAUCUUGUGGGGAACUUGCUGAAUUCGUGCGUCCUGAGAUUCGAGAUUCUCUUAUCUUGUCUAUUGUGCAACAGCUCAUUGAGGAUUCUGCUACAGUUGUUCGGGAGGCUUCUGCUCAUAACUUGGCGUUGCUUCUGCCUCUCUUCCCAAGUAGGGACAAAUAUUUCAAGGUUGAGG